Molecule: ribosomal RNA, 465 nt
Filed under: uncultured Klebsiella sp.
Lineage: Bacteria; Pseudomonadati; Pseudomonadota; Gammaproteobacteria; Enterobacterales; Enterobacteriaceae
Description: bacterial SSU rRNA
Rfam family: Bacterial small subunit ribosomal RNA
Source: RNAcentral
CCUACGGGAGGCAGCAGUGGGGAAUAUUGCACAAUGGGCGCAAGCCUGAUGCAGCCAUGCCGCGUGUGUGAAGAAGGCCUUCGGGUUGUAAAGCACUUUCAGCGGGGAGGAAGGCGUUAAGGUUAAUAACCUUGUCGAUUGACGUUACCCGCAGAAGAAGCACCGGCUAACUCCGUGCCAGCAGCCGCGGCAAUACGGAGGGUGCAAGCGUUAAUCGGAAUUACUGGGCGUAAAGCGCACGCAGGCGGUCUGUCAAGUCGGAUGUGAAAUCCCCGGGCUCAACCUGGGAACUGCAUUCGAAACUGGCAGGCUAGAGUCUUGUAGAGGGGGGUAGAAUUCCAGGUGUAGCGGUGAAAUGCGUAGAGAUCUGGAGGAAUACCGGUGGCGAAGGCGGCCCCCUGGACAAAGACUGACGCUCAGGUGCGAAAGCGUGGGGAGCAAACAGGAUUAGAUACCCCUGUAGUC